UCGGUGCCGCAGCUAACGCAUUAAGUACUCCGCCUGGGAAGUACGCUGGCAAGAGGGAAACUCAAAGGAAUUGACGGGGACCCGCACAAGUAGCGGAGCAUGUGGUUUAAUUCGAAGCAACGCGAAGAACCUUACCUAAGCUGGACAUCCCAAUGACAUCUCCUUAAUCGGAGAGUUCCCUUCGGGGACAUUGGUGACAGGUGGUGCAUGGUUGUCGUCAGCUCGUGUCGUGAGAUGUUGGGUUAAGUCCCGCAACGAGCGCAACCCUUGUCUUUAGUUGCCAUCAUUAAGUUGGGCACUCUAGAGAGACUGCCAGGGAUAA
RNAcentral lists this ribosomal RNA (322 nucleotides) under Clostridioides difficile. RNAcentral describes it as "bacterial SSU rRNA". It matches the Rfam family "Bacterial small subunit ribosomal RNA", at positions 840 to 1161 of the family's 1533-position model. Lineage: Bacteria; Bacillati; Bacillota; Clostridia; Peptostreptococcales; Peptostreptococcaceae. The record is from RNAcentral.